This 588-nucleotide ribosomal RNA is filed under the name Tomoplagia rupestris. Its description in RNAcentral is "partial 16S ribosomal RNA". The stretch from base 339 to 498 matches the Rfam family "Bacterial large subunit ribosomal RNA", at positions 2473 to 2632 of the family's 2925-position model. The record is from RNAcentral. Lineage: Eukaryota; Metazoa; Arthropoda; Insecta; Diptera; Tephritidae.
UGGCCGCAGUAUUUUGACUGUGCAAAGGUAGCAUAAUCAUUAGUCUUUUAAUUGAAGGCUUGUAUGAAUGGUUGGACGAGGUAUUAACUGUUUCAUAUAAAUUUAUAAUAAAAUUUUAUAUUUUAGUAAAAAAGCUAAAAUUUAAUUAAAAGACGAGAAGACCCUAUAAAUCUUUAUAUUUAAAUUUUAAUUUAAUUUUUUAAAUUAGUUUAAUUAAAUUUAAUUUAAUUAUUUUAUUGGGGUGAUAUUAAAAUUUAUAAAACUUUUAAUUUUAAAUAUACAUUAAUUUAUGAUUUGUUGAUCUAUUAUUAAUGAUUAAAAGAAUAAGUUACUUUAGGGAUAACAGCGUAAUUUUUUUGGAGAGUUCUUAUUAAUAAAAAAGUUUGCGACCUCGAUGUUGGAUUAAGAAAUAAAUUUAGGUGUAGAAGCUUAAAAAUUAAGUCUGUUCGACUUUUAAAUUCUUACAUGAUCUGAGUUCAAACCGGCGUAAGCCAGGUUGGUUUCUAUCUUUAAUUUUUUAUAAUAUUUUAGUACGAAAGGACCAAAUAUUAAAUUUAUAAAAAUUUAAUUUUUGAAAAUAAUUAAAUU